CAGGGAAUAUUGCACAAUGGACGGAAGUCUGAUGCAGCGACGCCGCGUGGACGAAGAAGGCCUUCGGGUUGUAAAGUCCUUUUCAGGGGGAAGAGAGAGGACGGUACCCUUGGAAUAAGCGUCGGCUAACUACGUGCCAGCAGCCGCGGUAAGACGUAGGACGCGAGCGUUAUCCGGAUUUACUGGGCGUAAAGCGUCUGUAGGCGGGACAGGAAGUUGGGCGUGAAAGUUUCGGGCUUAACCCGGAGAGGACGUACAAGACUGCUGAACUAGAGGCCAGCGGAGGGGCGUGGAAUUUCCAGUGUAGCGGUAAAAUGCGCAGAUAUCGGAAGGAACACCAGUGGCGAAGGCGGCGCCCUGGGGUGGGCCUGACGCUAAGAGACGAAAGCUAGGGGAGCGAACA
RNAcentral lists this ribosomal RNA (403 nucleotides) under uncultured bacterium. Its description in RNAcentral is "bacterial SSU rRNA". It matches the Rfam family "Bacterial small subunit ribosomal RNA", at positions 355 to 774 of the family's 1533-position model. The record is from RNAcentral.